UCGUUCGACAGUUUCUGGGGUAAGCCAGGAGCAGGAGCGCCUGUCGCGCAGUCUGGCGGCGGUCAUCAGAAACACGGCCUCGACGGUCUGUUGUCGUGCGACCACUCUCCGGUGAAAUCUCCACUAAAGCCAUCCCCCAAAAGAAUGUCACGCAGCAAGCACUCGAACAACUACGAGGGUGACUCUGCUGACGUCAUACCACAGUACACGCCCAUGCCUCCCUGGAGAACGGCGUAAACAUCCGCUACAGGUCCGGGAUCGUCAAAGUACUUCCGGACGCCAUCUACCGGCAGAGGUCGCUUCAGUAUGGGAGCUAUUUGGAUCACACUCGCCUGGCGUGCGUGCGUGUGCGUGUGCAUGUGCGUGCGUGUGCGUGCGUGCGUGUUCUUCCUUGCGCGCAUUCUUUCGGCCGCAUUACCAUCGACUACGAGUCUGUGGUGCCACCUAUUGAAAAAACUCGAGCGGUAAUGGAAUAGGGAGGCGAAAAAAGAAUUGAAUACAAUCUAUUACUCCGAAAUAUGAUCGCGGAAAUGCGGAUCGGUCCGUAUAUAUUGUUAGUGUGUAAUACUCGCUUGCAGUAAAUCGUAUAUAUAUUAUAUAUAUAUAUGUAUACGUAUAAUU
Long non-coding RNA from Priapulus caudatus, 621 nucleotides. RefSeq lists it as uncharacterized. The record is from RefSeq and is a predicted model, not a curated record. The transcript has 3 exons. Lineage: Eukaryota; Metazoa; Priapulida; Priapulimorpha; Priapulimorphida; Priapulidae.